This 1127-nucleotide long non-coding RNA is filed under the name Equus asinus (donkey). Its description in RNAcentral is "lncRNA (ENSEASG00005032889.1)". The record is from RNAcentral. Lineage: Eukaryota; Metazoa; Chordata; Mammalia; Perissodactyla; Equidae.
UGGAGACUUAAAAGUAAUUUUAUUUACAACCAUAAACACUUGAAAAAAUGGAGUACGUUAUACACAUCUCUGGCUCUUUCCCACCUACUGUAUGUACUUUGGCACAUGCAAAAGAAAAUGAAGGCUAGAUUGUUGAUGUAAAAGAAGGAAACUUAGACACUCAGGGAAAUCGACUUCAUGAAGUUCCAGGUGACAAAGUCAGUUGUCAACGAAGUGUCCAAUGUUUGACAAACCAGGGACUCAGGCUAAUGUACUUCUCACCCUGGAUACUAGGAGAGUACCUCUCUGGUGUCUCAGAUGGGUCUCACUUUCUUCUUUUUCUAGGCACAUAGAAGCCCAGGCAGCAUAGAACAGAUUUCUCUGACUGGCUUGGGCACGCUACUAAACGUCUUUAUUUUUCCAUUUCUUCAAUUGCUUUGCCCGCAUCCCAAAGUUGCUGUGAAGAUUAAGUGAAUAGACAUGAAAGGGCUUUGAGAAACAUAACAUGCUCACAAAUACAAUGAAUUAUUUUUUUAAAUAGCUUUUGCCUUUUUGAAAGAAAUCUUGAGCAAUGGAGGAGAAAAGUUUCAAAGACUAAGGCUGAGAAAGUUCCCUUGUGUCCUCAGUGAGGUCCGAGUCUCAGUGGGAAUUCACCAUGACCGCAGACCUGGCCUGUGACUGCACAUUCGUUAAACCUGCGCUAAAAGUCUGUUCAGACCAUCCAGGCUACAGCAGGACUAAUCAAUAAAGGUCCUUCAGGGGCCCCAGCAGAAUUAAGAGAAAGAUAAGUGUUGGAAAGAAGAAUGAAAAUGUCCCAAAUAGCAUUUAUGACCCAACUACUGAAGAAGAGGAAGAAAUCUGGGGAACAGACUUGUGGCCUUGCCUCUGCCUUCAUGUGGAAUCACCUAUAAACUUUCCAGAAGAAAGUGCAAGAAUUAUCUUCCCAUCACCCAUCGCAACGUCCUAACUGUCACUAUUGGAUCUGCAGUAAGUUAAACUCAACUUCCUAGGUCUGCCUCUUGACACAGCUAAAGAAUAGUGACUGAUCAUUGUCAUCACACUAGCCUUUCCUAUGCUGAGUUGUCACCUCCACACUAUAGGAUUCCAAUCCCCUCUGUGGGUCAACAGGGCAAGUGUAAUGACCUGGC